AUUCGAUUUUGCUCUCGUUUAAAAUUUAAUUAAUGAUAUUAAUUCAAUUGAUGCGUGCAUAAUUCUGGUAGAGAGAGAGAGCAGCUGUUUGAGAGAGCAGCUGUUUAAUUAGAGGUAUCGAUCUUCAAUCCAACAUAUUCCCCAAUGAAAUAAUGGUCUCUUUAAUUGAAUUGUUGCCGUUAAAGAAUUGAUGCGCUCAAUAAUUCUUCGAACAAAAUUGGUGUAUAAUAAAUUCUCCCUUCAUCCCGUUUAUUUUCACGAUGUCCUUCGAUGUGUUCCGAAUAAUUUCGCUGUCCUAGCAGAUGGGACCAUCACCAUACCACAGAAUAGCCUAUAAGUGUAAUAUCUAGAUAUACAUGUAUAUCUGGACAUCCCUCCAAUGUCUUCCGAGGCCAACGUUUUACUACCAACCAGAUAUGUACAUAAUGCUGCAACAAGUUACAGGAAUAUGGAAUUUAACAAAGAAAAAAAAACCCGGACGAUUGUAGACUCCUAGCUUGGUAAUAUGGUCAUCAGACUUCGGUGCAGCCAUCCUAGGCCUAAUGCUGGAUUAAGGGUGGAGUAUUUGCACUCAUGGUUGCAUAGAUGGUUAUUCUAGAAUGGCCGUGUGUUUUGAAUCUUCCUCUAACAGCUCAUCUUAUCAAUUGACCUUGAUGCGCGCAUCACCUCAAUUGAUGAGAGCAAUAAUUGAUUGGAUGCGCGCAUCAAAUCAAUUAUUGCUCCCACCAAUUGAAUUGAUGCAUGCAUUAAAUUAAUUAUUGUCUUCAUCAAUUCAAUUGAAGGGCACAUCAAAUCAAUUAUUGCUCUCAUUAAUUGAAUUGAUGCGCGCAUCAAUUCUGCUGAUGAGAGCACUAAUAUUGACUAUGAGGGCAAUAAUUGAUUUGAUGCGUGCAUCAGUUGUAUUAUUGCACGCAAUAAUUGAUUUAUUAACGUUUUCAAAUAAUAAAUUAUGCCUUGAA
This is a long non-coding RNA of Ostrea edulis (European flat oyster), 959 nucleotides long. RefSeq lists it as uncharacterized. NCBI's taxonomy places the organism in Eukaryota, Metazoa, Mollusca, Bivalvia, Ostreida, Ostreidae. The record is from RefSeq and is a predicted model, not a curated record. The transcript has 3 exons.